GACGAACGCUGGCGGCGUGCUUAACACAUGCAAGUCGAACGAAGUUUUUCCUCUGGGAGAAUCUUAGUGGCGGUCGGGUGAGAAACGCGUGGGAAACCUGCCCUGCCUAGGGGGACAACCGCUGUAACCGGCUGCUAAUACCGCAUAAGCCCUUAGCACUGCAUGGUUCGUAGGGAAAGGUUGCAAUCCGGUACAGGAUGGACGCGCGUCUGGUUAGCCAUGUGGCAGGGUAACGGCCUACCAAAGGGACGAUCAGUAGCCGAUCGGAGUGGAUGUACGGCCAGAUUGGGACUGAGACACGGCCCAGACACCUACGGAAGAGAGGCGUAGGGAAUAUUGCGCGAUGGAGCGAGCUCUAAUGCAGCCACGCGGCGUGGGAGAAGAUUUGUUUGGGAAUGUAAUGCUCUAUCAGCAGGGGAGAAAGUGACGGUACCUGACUAAGAAGCACCGGCUAACUACGUG
This 462-nucleotide ribosomal RNA is filed under the name uncultured bacterium. RNAcentral's name for it is "partial 16S ribosomal RNA". It matches the Rfam family "Bacterial small subunit ribosomal RNA", at positions 28 to 507 of the family's 1533-position model. The record is from RNAcentral.